Molecule: ribosomal RNA, 442 nt
Filed under: uncultured bacterium
Lineage: Bacteria
Description: partial 16S ribosomal RNA
Rfam family: Bacterial small subunit ribosomal RNA
Source: RNAcentral
CUACGGGUGGCUGCAGUAGAGAAUCUUCCGCAAUGGGCGAAAGCCUGACGGAGCGACACCGCGUGAAGGAUGAAGGCCCUCGGGUUGUAAACUUCUUUUCUGAGGGACGAAAAUUUGACGGUACCUCAGGAAUAAGCCCCGGCUAAUUACGUGCCAGCAGCCGCGGUAAUACGUAAGGGGCAAACGUUAUCCGGAAUUAUUGGGCGUAAAGCGUCCGCAGGGGGCGUAGCAAGUCUAUCAUUAAAUACCAGUGCUUAACAUUGGUGCCGUGAUGGAAACUGCUACUGCUAGAGGAUGAGAGAGGCAUAUGGAAUUGUGCAAGUAGGGGUAAAAUCCGUAGAUAUGCACAGGAACACCAAAAGCGAAGGCAGUAUGCUGGCUCAUUCCUGACACUCAGGGACGAAAGCGUGGGGAGCGAAACGGAUUAGAUACCCCUGUAGUC